GACUCUAAGCGGUGGAUCACUCGGUUCUCCGGUCGAUGAAGAACGCAGCCAGCUGCGAGACUUGGUGUGAAUUUUAGGACACACUGAGCACUGAUUCUUUGAACGCACAUUGCGGCCUUGGGUCUUCCCUUGGCUUCGUCUGUCUGAGGGUCG
This 153-nucleotide ribosomal RNA is filed under the name Dermacentor andersoni. Its description in RNAcentral is "5.8S ribosomal RNA". It matches the Rfam family "5.8S ribosomal RNA". Rfam says of the family: 5.8S ribosomal RNA (5.8S rRNA) is a component of the large subunit of the eukaryotic ribosome. It is transcribed by RNA polymerase I as part of the 45S precursor that also contains 18S and 28S rRNA. Lineage: Eukaryota; Metazoa; Arthropoda; Arachnida; Ixodida; Ixodidae. The record is from RNAcentral.